RNAcentral lists this ribosomal RNA (482 nucleotides) under uncultured Flavobacteriales bacterium. RNAcentral describes it as "bacterial SSU rRNA". It matches the Rfam family "Bacterial small subunit ribosomal RNA", at positions 28 to 505 of the family's 1533-position model. Lineage: Bacteria; Pseudomonadati; Bacteroidota; Flavobacteriia; Flavobacteriales. The record is from RNAcentral.
GAUGAACGCUAGCGGCAGGCCUAACACAUGCAAGUCGAACGGUAACAGAGGAGCUUGCUCUUGCUGACGAGUGGCGAACGGGUGCGUAACGCGUAUACAACUUGCCUAUAACUGGGAGAUAGCCCAUGGAAACGUGGAUUAAUACCCCAUAAUACUGAGAAUUCGCAUGUUUUUUCAGUUAAAGCUUUUGCGGUUAUAGAUGGGUAUGCGUGACAUUAGCUAGUUGGUAAGGUAACGGCUUACCAAGGCCACGAUGUCUAGGGGGCCUGAGAGGGUGAUCCCCCACACUGGUACUGAGACACGGACCAGACUCCUACGGGAGGCAGCAGUGAGGAAUAUUGCACAAUGGAGGAAACUCUGAUGCAGCCAUGCCGCGUGCAGGAUGACUGCCCUACGGGUUGUAAACUGCUUUUAUAUAGGAAGAAACCUCUCUACGUGUAGAGAGCUGACGGUACUAUAAGAAUAAGGACCGGCUAACUCCG